Molecule: ribosomal RNA, 1136 nt
Filed under: uncultured bacterium
Lineage: Bacteria
Description: bacterial SSU rRNA
Rfam family: Bacterial small subunit ribosomal RNA
Source: RNAcentral
GGGUGAGUAACACGUGAGUGACCUGCCCCGAGGAGGGGGACAACCAUGGGAAACCAUGGCUAAUACCCCGUAGACCUGGCCGUCUUGGAAGCGGUCAGGUAUAGCUCAGGCGCCUUGGGAGUCGCUCGCGGUCGAUUAGUUUGUUGGUGGGGUAACGGCCUACCAAGAUGACGAUCGAUAGCUGGUCUGAGAGGAUGAUCAGCCACACUGGGUCUGAGACACGGCCCAGACUCCUAUGGGGGGCAGCAGCGAGGAAUAUUGGACAAUGGGCGCAAGCCUGAUCCAGCAACGCCGCGUGGAGGAAGAAGGCUUCGGUUGUAAACUCCUUUUGUACGGGAUGAGACAAGGACAGUACCGUGCGAAUAAGUCACGGCUAACUAGGUGCCAGCAGCCGCGGUAAUACCUAGGUGACGAGCGUUAUCCGGAUUUACUGGGCGUAAAGGGCUUGAAGGCGGUAAUUCAAGUCUGGCGUGAAAUCUCCUGGCUUAACCAGGAGGGGUCGUCAGAUACUGUUUUACUGGAGGCAGUGAGAGGGGUGUGGAAUUCUCGGUGGAGUGGUGGAAUACGUAGAUAUCGGGAGGAACACCAGUGGCGAAGGCGGCACCCUGGCACUGACCUGACGCUCAUAGGCGAAAGCGUGGGGAGCGAACGGGAUUAGAUCCCCCGGUAGUCCACGCUGUAAACGAUGAGUACUAGGCGUAGGUAGCUACAGUUAUCUGUGCCGCAGCUAACGCGAUAAGUACUCCGCCUGGGGACUACGGCCGCAAGGCUAAAACUCAAAGGAAUUGACGGGGACCCGCACAAGCAGCGGAGCGUGUUGUUUAAUUCGAUGUAACGCGAAGAACCUUACCUGGGUUUGACAUGUGCGUAGUAGUGAAGCGAAAGCGGAACGACCCUUCGGGGAGCGUACACAGGUGUUGCAUGGCUGUCGUCAGCUCGUGUCGUGAGAUGUUGGGUUAAGUCCCGCNACGAGCGCAACCCUCGUCGUUAGUUACAAGUGUCUAGCGAGACUGCCGAUAAUACAUCGGAGGAAGGUGAGGACGAUGUCAAGUCAGCAUGACCCUUAUAUCCAGGGCUACUAACACGCUACAAUGGGCGGUACAAUGGGCAGCCAAAGAGCAAUCUGGAGCAAAUCC